RNAcentral lists this non-coding RNA (26 nucleotides) under Homo sapiens (human). The record is from RNAcentral. Lineage: Eukaryota; Metazoa; Chordata; Mammalia; Primates; Hominidae.
UGGAGGUCCAGUUCUCUCUGAAGACA